Molecule: long non-coding RNA, 1034 nt
Organism: Rhinolophus ferrumequinum (greater horseshoe bat)
Lineage: Eukaryota; Metazoa; Chordata; Mammalia; Chiroptera; Rhinolophidae
Exons: 4
Source: RefSeq, a predicted model, not a curated record
AUAGAACCUUCCAAGGUCAACUCAAGUUACUGUCACUGAUUCCCUACCCUACGCUUCCAUGAGUAAGGGAGGCACCCACAUUACCCCACCUCACUUCUGCACAAUUUUAACAUCUUAAGAGGUCUGCAUUUAGAGGCCACUCCCAUGAGGCUUUGUGAGGGUGUUCACCCAGGAGUCCUGGUUUUCUGUAGCUGUUUCUGUCAUUGUUCCCUCCUCUCCCCUGUCUUGUUGCCCCUACUUUACCCAGUUUGAGAAGGUCCUUUAUACCCUGACCCAGUGAUACUUCUUUCUAGGACUUGGGGUGAGAGGUGGGAAUUAAGGCCCCCAGAACUGGCUCCUGUAAUUCGCAUGCUGGGUUCUAGGGUAAGCCUCCAGGAGAGGAGGAGAGGAUGAUGGGGAUGAGGGUCGGGCAUUUAUGAGUCUUAAAGGGACCGUGGGCUCUCAGAACUUCAGAAUCCAGGACUUGUAGUCCUCGGGAGCUCCUGGAGAACUGGGAUGAAGGUGCACUCAGAUGCAGCAUCCAGGGCUGCUCGUUUGGGGAGGUGGAUCCCACUCUGCACCCUGACCUUGGAUGACUCAAGGGCCCAGCUUCCCCAGGGCCAUGUAUGACCAAGAAGAACAAGUCUGAGGGAGAAUUUGUGGACUGAGGAAUUCAUGGGAGAGUAAACUUGGAGAUUGCAGUUCCCGAGGAUUUCGUGUGGUGAGAGGCUGACAGGCCCUUCCCACUGGACUCUGUGCUUCGCCGUGUGACUUGUUUUGACCAAAGGGAUGUUAACAAACAUGGCACAAGCAGAAGCUUCAUGAGCUUGUGAAUGGAGGCCUGCCCUCUUCAUGGUAUGAGCAGCUCAGAGUGAAAGACCACGUUGGACCCACCUGCUGAAUGCAGCCACAGACUUUAGAAGACUGGCUACAAUUUUACGGUCGGAAGUAGAGAGCCUGCCUUUGUGUGUCCAGAAGUUCUCUCAUUCGUACAAUAAGGAACUUGUUGCUCAGAAUCUGCUGAUGAACAGCCUGGGAAAACACCACCACAAAGA